This 1187-nucleotide long non-coding RNA is filed under the name Apteryx rowi (Okarito brown kiwi). RNAcentral describes it as "lncRNA (ENSARWG00000011656.1)". Lineage: Eukaryota; Metazoa; Chordata; Aves; Apterygiformes; Apterygidae. The record is from RNAcentral.
AUGAUGAUACCAGAAACAGGAAAGAGAAUUUGGCAGAAUCCCAUUUUAUGGCAGAGUCAUAGAAYCCAGGAGAAAACCUCUGAAGUGGAUGUUGCAGCUCAUGGAAAAAGAAAAUUAAACUUUUACCAUGGAUUUGGAGAACAUCACAACAGUGUUAUGCAACCCAUAAGACCUAUGAAAAUGAACAAAGGGGAGAAAGAAGCUCAUUGGCACCUACAUCAAGGCCAGGACCAACAGACUGGCGGUGGCAGCAAAGACGGUGGUGUGUGUUACUCUUUAACUUGCCCUAGUUACCCAAAAGGUUUGCUACUACUGGGCUAGCCCUAUGGAGAGACUGAAGGUUGGAGAGAAAAUCACUGCUGUGACAGGAGCUGCUACCCCACCUACAGAAAAUGGGAGUGAUGUGUUUAAAUCCUGCAGAGGUCUUUGAACCCUGUUCUCGCGCUCUCCUAGCAGGACUGGUAUGAAAGAGCUGAGCAGUGCCUCUGGGAAAAGACAGCUGCUGGAUCAGGCCUGUGGGAGUCUUAUGGGGAUGCCAAAUUAGAGGAUUUUUAUCAGCUCUAGGUGUAACCUAGGUGCUGAGCUAUUUAUAGUGAGGAUGUUACAGGCAUCUGCAAUGAUUUCAGGGGCAAGCUGGGUUUUAAAACCACUGAAAUUGUACACUGGAUCCAAUGUUUAGGCACUGCAGUGCUAAGACCUGCAGCAUGCACACAUUUGGGCUGCGCUGCUUUGCAGCAGACUUUUCAACCCUGAGUGAGAUAGUGUGGAGCAAUAAGAUCACCAGGGUUCAGAGCAGGGCUUUGUAGCCGUAAGCUAUCCAGUAGGAAAUACUGGGGUACAAUUCUCACGGGGUUUUACAUGACAGCUCCAGGUCAGCAGCAGUGCUCUCCUCCACCAGCAUUCACUGCUGAGGAGGCAGUUUUUGCUUUCACUUACCACUGCCAGGAGCUGAAAUAGCCAAUAGCAUAGUGUCAUUGCCAUCACCUGAGAAGGCAGGAAACCUUUGUUUAAACAUCUCCUUUACAUGACUUAGAGUGAGAAUUCUAACAAACACAGAUCUCUUACUUCCUAGGCAAACACCUUCACCAUUUGGCUACAGGGUAUUUAAGGGGCUGGCUUUGGCAAUCUGUUAAAACUGUUCUGCUUUCUAUAAAAUACUUGUAUAAUAAAGGAAUGCAAAAYGCACA